RNAcentral lists this ribosomal RNA (144 nucleotides) under uncultured bacterium. RNAcentral describes it as "partial 16S rRNA". It matches the Rfam family "Bacterial small subunit ribosomal RNA", at positions 353 to 511 of the family's 1533-position model. The record is from RNAcentral.
UGGGGGAAGUUUUCCGUCAAUGGGCGAAAGCCUGACGGAGCAAUGCCGCGUGGAGGUGGAAGGCCUACGGGUCGUCAACUUCUUUUCUCGGAGAAGAAACAAUGACGGUAUCUGAGGAAUAAGCAUCGGCUAACUCUGUGCCAG